UCCACGUGUGCAAGCUCGGGGAGGGGACGGGGCGCAGAAGGCGUGACAAAGACAGACUUUGUGUCUGAGUGUACGCCUUGCUCCAGCCCGGAGCAGCCAAC
Equus asinus (donkey) is the source of this 101-nucleotide microRNA precursor. NCBI's taxonomy places the organism in Eukaryota, Metazoa, Chordata, Mammalia, Perissodactyla, Equidae. The record is from Ensembl.